RNAcentral lists this transfer RNA (72 nucleotides) under Bos taurus (domestic cattle). It matches the Rfam family "tRNA". From Rfam's summary of the family: Transfer RNA (tRNA) molecules are approximately 80 nucleotides in length. Their secondary structure includes four short double-helical elements and three loops (D, anti-codon, and T loops). The record is from Rfam by way of RNAcentral. RNAcentral also lists the same sequence under 2 other names. Lineage: Eukaryota; Metazoa; Chordata; Mammalia; Artiodactyla; Bovidae.
CUCCUGGUGGCUCAGACGGUAAAGAAUCUGCCUGCAAUGCAGGAGACCCAGGUUCGAUCCCUGGGUUGGAAA